GAUGAACGCUGGCGGCGUGCCUAAUACAUGCAAGUCGAGCGAACAGACGAGGAGCUUGCUCCUCUGACGUUAGCGGCGGACGGGUGAGUAACACGUGGAUAACCUACCUAUAAGACUGGGAUAACUUCGGGAAACCGGAGCUAAUACCGGAUAAUAUAUUGAACCGCAUGGUUCAAUAGUGAAAGACGGUUUUGCUGUCACUUAUAGAUGGAUCCGCGCCGCAUUAGCUAGUUGGUAAGGUAACGGCUUACCAAGGCAACGAUGCGUAGCCGACCUGAGAGGGUGAUCGGCCACACUGGAACUGAGACACGGUCCAGACCCCUACGGGAGGCAGCAGUAGGGAAUCUUCCGCAAUGGGCGAAAGCCUGACGGAGCAACGCCGCGUGAGUGAUGAAGGUCUUCGGAUCGUAAAACUCUGUUAUUAGGGAAGAACAAAUGUGUAAGUAACUAUGCACGUCUUGACGGUACCUAAUCAGAAAACCACGGCUAACUACGU
RNAcentral lists this ribosomal RNA (496 nucleotides) under uncultured bacterium. Its description in RNAcentral is "partial 16S ribosomal RNA". It matches the Rfam family "Bacterial small subunit ribosomal RNA", at positions 28 to 506 of the family's 1533-position model. The record is from RNAcentral.